AAGAGGUAAAACCCCUAGUCGCAUAGAAGAUUUUUUCCUCUCACUUCAUUGUCGUUGCCAAAAAUGGAAAAGGCGUGGGUCAAUCCUAUGAAGUGCAGUCUUGCGCGCCCAUUUUGGGCAAGAGCAAUUAAUGCUCUUGCCCUGUUUCACCGUCACCACAGCAUAUCAGCCAAGGAAAGAGGCUGAGUUCGUAUGGUAAGGAGCAAAGAAAUCUCCAAGUCCAAUCUCGACAUUUUUGGCUAAACACAACAAAGGUACUUUUCUCUCCUUUAUUUAUUUUUUAGCAGUUCUUUAUUUGCUUUGCUAUGUGAUUAUAUGAUUUGUGUUUGUUAGUCCUGAUUAGUUAGCUAUGUAUGUAUGCUUAGUUUAGUUUAGUAUUUCCUUAAAACAGUUAAUACAUGUUUAUCUUAGAUUAGUUCUGUGUUAUCUAGAUUAGUUUAGUUUGGUAAUGUCCCUAUAGACUUUGCUUAACUUAAUCAACUGCCUAAACAUGUGAUUUUCUUAGAAGUUUACUAGUCCAUUAAAAUGCUUGACUGAACUAAUGUUCUACCAUGUGUGUAAAGAGAUUCUUAGCAUAUCUAAUAUCUAUUUUCAUACCAACUUACUUGAUCAUAUGUUAGUAUUCCAGUUGAUUAGAAUGAAUUACUUGGUUGUGACAUGUUAGUUUUUGUUUAUUAGUGGAGGUUUACAUUAGGAUGCUGUGUUGAAUGGGAUUGAUUAGUUGGGAUUUAAUUCAGUUAUUAUGUUGGUAGUCUCUGUGUUUUUUCCCAAAAUCAGGGCAAUUAGUUCAUCUUUGAAUAGGUAGCCCGGUUAACCAGAUAAGCUGGAGGGACUUCCUGCAGAUAAAUGACUAAGUAUGUGUCAGGGUGAAUAGACUAGGAGUCCAGAGUGUUAAACAUGCCUAGUUAAUUGCACUGUCCAAACAUGUAUCUUUCUUGACUUAACAAAGUUUAUGAGAAAUGUUGUUUCUACUUAGGGAAACAUGUCUAAAUUAAUCAAGUUAUAAGGGAUGAGGGGAAGUUUUAGGUGUCCUUUGUAGUCUGUGUGUUUGGUGCCUAGCUACAAAUUCAGAAAUGUUUGUCUUGUUGGGUUUUUUAACUACUCUCAUUUCCUGUUAAGUGUAUAGUAUGUUUGUUAAAUUAUUGGUUUGGAUUAACUCUAGCUUAAUCAUUGGUGCAUGCACCUGAUAUAUGCUCACAGUAGGGAAACACUCAUAUUGCAUAGUUGCCUGCUUGGAUUUAAGUUAGUAACUUGUCAUUUUGUUUUGUUUGUCAUGUCCUAUCAUGAGAUCAGUGAUAGCUUAACAUGUUUGGCUACAUCUAAGAUUCAAAUUUGGGUUUAGAUAUGUCUAUAGGGGUUUUAAUCAGAAAAAAUAUUUAUUUUACCUCUAAAAUGCUAGUGUUACAGUGUAAGAAUAUUCAUAUCCUUUUAUUUGCUUGAAUACUAUCCUCAACAUGUCUAAAAGUAUGUUUGUCAUGAUUUUCUCAAGUGUUUAAAUUUUCAUUCCCUCUAUUGUUUUCAUGAAAACUCUAGACUAAAGGGGUGCCUAAAUGAGUUUUAAACUGGAUAGGAUAAGGUACUUAUGUGUUGAAAGGAAACUGGAGUAGUAGGGCCUUAAUAUGCUUAUUCUAAUUUGUUCCACCUAGUUUAGCACAAAAACUGUCUUAAUUUGCUUCAUUUUAAGCUAAUAAGUUUUAAUCCUUUAAUGAACACUCCAUCUUCUCAUGUUUAACUUGAAAUCUUGUGGUUCUAUGACAUCAGUGAUGGUUUGUGAUAUUUAAGUUGUUCAUGUGUGUUUUUGCUUAAACUAUUUUGCAUCUUCUCAUGUUUCACAUGUGCCUAAGUUAUCCUAUCUGUAUGAAAGAACUGAAUCUGUUGGUUUGAAUACUUUGUUUGGAAAAUCCCAAAGAUGGCAUAAGCUCUUUGUAUGGUCUAAAAGUGACAUGUUUUGACCCUGCUCUUACCUUAUGAGAUUUUGUAUGCACGUUUUGAAUUAACGUUGACCCUGUCUUGUCUCAUUGAAUCUCUUUGAAGUGCAAUGUGCAUGUCUUAAGUCUGGUUUGGCCUCAUAGUGUGUUAAAAGCUUUCCUCAUAAAUGGUUUUAACCUUCCCUCUUGUUUUGUACUUGUUUAUUGGUAUAGUUUGACUUUUUCUGUGGUAGGUGUAAAAUCAGUCUUCCCAUAUUGUAAACCACUCUACUUUCUUAGGCUUAAUACCCAGAUGGACCCUUAAACUUGGCAUGUUUUGUAAGAUAGGCAUAUAAACUUAUAAGGUGACCAGAUAGACACUUAAACUUACUCAAAGUGUAUUUUUCAAGUUUUUCAGUUGUUUUGAAAACAAAAACUAUAUUUUUCAAACACUCACAAUUUUCAUGGCCAAACAAGCCCUAAAUAUAUCACAAAAUAUUUUUUUUAAAAUGCAAAAAUAAGGCAAACGCAUAUACAUGAGACUAUAAAUGUGCACUUAAACCAAUAAAUACUCGCUAAUCGCAAUUUUGCAGCUUUCAAUUAACUCGGAUGUUUUUUUACACUUGAAUAAUUAAAAAACAAUAACUUUAACCAAUAAAAAUCCUUAAAAAAAGAAAUUUCAAAUUAAGAAAUAUCUUUUUUUUUAAGGAUUUUCUUCUCGGCUUUACAGUUUUCUUAAUUUGAAAUUUCUUUUACACUUGAAAUACUGAACUUAGAAAUUUCUUAAUUUGAAAUUUCUUUUUUUAAGGAUUUUUAUUGGUUAAAGUUAUUGUUUUUUAAUUAUUCAAGUGUAAAAAAAAAAUCCGAGUUAAUUGAAAGCUGCAAAAUUGCGAUUAGCGAGUAUUUAUUGGUUUAAGUGCACAUUUAUAGUCUCAUGUAUAUGCGUUUGCCUUAUUUUUGCAUUUUAAAAAAAUAUUUUGUGAUAUAUUUAGGGCUUGUUUGGCCAUGAAAAUUGUGAGUGUUUGAAAAAUAUAGUUUUUGUUUUCAAAACAACUGAAAAAUACACUUUGAGUAAGUUUAAGUGUCUAUCUGGUCACCUUAUAAGUUUAUAUGCCUAUCUUACAAAAUAUGUCAAGUUUAAGGGUCCAUCUAGGUAUUAAGCCACUUUCUUAUAAUCCCUUUACCUGUGUUGGCAUGAUAGAAUUCUGCAGUUUGUUCACUAUAUGAAUCAUAUGCUUAGUUUAAGGACUUGAACAUACUCAUUCCAGUUUUGAUUUAACAUGACCAUAAGUGUGUUAGUAACUUCUUUUCUAUGCUUUUACUGAUUUGUCUCAUAUUAUGGGGUUGAUAUAGGAAUUAUCUUGGCAAUAAUUGAAAGAAACUUGCGGGAUUAGUCGGGGCUCAAAGAGACCCGGACACCCGGUGCUUAAUCAAAAAAAAAAAAAUUGAAAGAAACUUGUCAUGUGCUUGCUUUGUUUAAAUUUGAAGUCAAGAACGGCACAUCUAUAGACUAAAUGUUGAUAUAGACGUGUUAUAAACAUCAAUAAGGAUCAAAUGCAUCAAACAUGAGUCAUGUAUAGCCUGAUAUAUGCUUAACUUGCAUUAUUUCACAUCUACGUCUAUCCUUAGCCUUGUUUAGAGUUGUUGCUGUGUUGAUAUAUGCAAAAUAUACAAAGUAUACAUGUUUCGUAUACACUCGGGUGUAUAUAAGGGGUGUACACCUCAUAUAUCAUUAAUUUUAACUUAUAAACCUGGCUUGUAUACUUCAUGGUGGGCCUGUUUUUCUUCGCCUACUGGGCUUGUUGUUUUCAAUUGAUCCUAGAUUUGGGCUUGCUUUUUUUGUGAUUUGUGCCUGCUUGCCCAUAUUUUCAGCUUGUUUCCAUUUCACUGAAUACUACAUGUAUACUUAGUUAUAUAGAAGACAUAUGAUUUAUACGUAUCCGUGUUUAUCCAUUUAGAUUCUUUAUUAAUUCGUUGGUUGAGUUUAGAUACCCUCUAACUGCUAUUUUCCUUUUUUCCCCCUCCCUUUUUGCAUGGAACCAUCAUCAUGGGCCACUCGGGCCAGUCUCCUCGUUCAAAGAUUGUUGGGCCAGAGGCCCAACUUCCUUUUUUCCGUGAUCGAUUCCAAACCAAAGACGAAAUAAGAAGGCCCAACCAUGGGUGAAAAUGGUCAAUGGUGGGCAUAGGUAGGCCCACCAGCCUAACUUUCUUCUCUUGCCAUUAUUGGGUAUAUAUAUGUUUGCAUAUGUAUAUGUUGUAUAUGCAAAUGCUAAUAUUAUUAGUGGAACCCGAAUGUGAUUAGAAUUUAGGAAAAACUCGUGUAGUGGGUUAAACAUUUUCCACAAAAAAUGGUUUUCGCAGUUAAA
Long non-coding RNA from Lycium barbarum (goji berry), 4273 nucleotides. RefSeq lists it as uncharacterized. NCBI's taxonomy places the organism in Eukaryota, Viridiplantae, Streptophyta, Magnoliopsida, Solanales, Solanaceae. The transcript is spliced from 2 exons. The record is from RefSeq and is a predicted model, not a curated record.